This 1510-nucleotide long non-coding RNA is filed under the name Betta splendens (Siamese fighting fish). Its description in RNAcentral is "lncRNA (ENSBSLG00000014193.1)". The record is from RNAcentral. Lineage: Eukaryota; Metazoa; Chordata; Actinopteri; Anabantiformes; Osphronemidae.
AUUUGUUUUAUUUUGAUUACUAUUAUUUCAAGGUACUUAGCAACUUUACUUGACUUUAACAUUUAUGUGGAAAAGGGUCCAAACUAUCUGAUAAUAGGAAAAAGCCUAUUAUCAGCCUAUAUUAUCAGGCUGUAUGUCAGUGUUGUAUGAAUCAUUAAGGCAACGUUCUACCGAACAUCAAAAGUUUUUAACGGCACAAUGUCUGAUCAACACGCCACCGUUUACACACAGCAGACCAAUGUUCUCCUCAGGCGUUUUCAUUUCUGGCCACUAGGGGGCCAAAAGCUGCAGGACUAGCUAACAUCUGAUACACAAGCGAAUAAGUCACCUGAACUAAGACUCACAUUUUACUAAACAUUUACUCUAAUCAUACACCCAGCAUUACUGAAAUACAACAUGUCAUUUCUUUGGGUUCGUGUUUGCUUUUCCUGACGACUAUGACAGCAGCGUGCUGAUGGCAGUCAUGACAGUCAUGGGAGAGAGUUCCCCUUCAGAGUCCACCGGCUGCCAGAAGUUCGAAGUGGCUGCAGCUCCAUCGCUUCAACAACAGCAUCUAACUGGAAAACUGUAAUUAUUCAUGCAGAAAAUGCAUCUGAUCCUUAUUUCAUACGUAAGAAAAGGGUUCUCAAGGAGGAGCCCCCGAUCGUGAGAAUGUUAAAAAGUUUUGAGAACCCAAGACAAUACAUCUUCGCACUUCUGUGCUGUGUGUUUGUGUUUCAUUGUGUUGUUGCUUACUUUGCUUUUGUCUGAGAAUUCACUGGGGCCAACGAUCAGUAGCACAAAUGCCAACCAGCAGCGAAACAGAAAAAUGAAAGCAAAGCAAAGGGUAAAAAGAAUGAAUGGCUGGGAUUAGCUCACAUAGAUUUGCUUAUUCAAAUUUUUGAACCUUGUUGUCGUUUGACCACCAGAACGUGUCGAAGAUUUGUUUUGAUGCAUCCGUCAUAGAACACUAAUUUGCAUGCCAGCUUCAGGUUCAGCAUUUGUAAAGUGAUGGCUGUGAGAGAUUCUGCCAGGGAAACUUACGCAUGCAAUGCUUUGAGUAGCAGUAGUGUGAUUAAAGGGUUACCACAUUCUCCAACGCUGCACAUGGGAUCUGUUGUAACGUUUGCAGGGGAAACAUAAGGAAUCCAUCAGUUGAUUUACAAAGUAAUCCAGCAGUAAUGCUCCCUUGCAUGUUAUGAUUUGUGUUGACAGUGUUGCACUGCUGGAGCAGUAGAGCCCCUUGCUGCGCUGCCUGACUGGCUCCAUUAAAAUGAAUGAGAGGGCUGCGUUUAAUCAUGUGGACCCAACUUCAUGUGUCUGUUUGUUUCACACUGUGAGUCCAUUUACACACAGCGUGCACGUGUGCGGAUUAAAAAUCAUCGAAAGGGUCUCAUCCUUUGCAGGGACGUAAAGGUUUCAUGGAGGCGAGUCAUUGGGAAUUAAGUGUGGAGGUUCAAGGCCGCAGUUCUCUGAACCGACUGUGACUUUAUGUGUGUCUGCGUUGUUAAAGGUCUCAGCUCUUCCUGAU